RNAcentral lists this ribosomal RNA (170 nucleotides) under uncultured bacterium. Its description in RNAcentral is "partial 16S ribosomal RNA". It matches the Rfam family "Bacterial small subunit ribosomal RNA", at positions 338 to 525 of the family's 1533-position model. The record is from RNAcentral.
UCUACGGGACGCAGCAGUGGGGAAUCUUGCGCAAUGGGCGCAAGCCUGACCCAGCCAUGCCGCGUGAGUGACGAAGGCCUUAGGGUUGUAAAGCUCUUUUGGCGGGGACGAUAAUGACGGUACCCGCAGAAUAAGCCCCGGCUAACUUCGUGCCAGCAGCCGCGGUAAUA